This 715-nucleotide long non-coding RNA is filed under the name Pan troglodytes (chimpanzee). Its description in RNAcentral is "lincRNA". The record is from RNAcentral. Lineage: Eukaryota; Metazoa; Chordata; Mammalia; Primates; Hominidae.
GUUUCCAGACGAAGAGCAUAUACCAGUUAAACUCCGCCAUUUUGCCUCUCAGUGUUCAAGCUUGAGCCUACGCAUCCAACUCCUGAGAUCUUACUGGGAAGCUGCUGAUCAUCAGUUUCAGGUAAGACGGGUUGAAGAUCCGAGAGGCUGAGUCACUUCCACAAAGUAACACAGCUGAUUUUAAAUGCCUGCAUUCAGCAUCCCUGCAGCAGGCUCCAGGUGGAAUUCUAAUGGGACCAGCCUCCAGUCCCUGGACCUUAGCUGUGGAAGGAGAGAAGAGGACAUCUGCACCUCCUCUCAGAGAAAGCCUGAUGCCUACUAAAGGACUUGGGUGGUGGACACAGUGACCCUCAGUCUGGAGCUUGUUCACUGAACAUUGGAGACUAUCAUUUGCGCAGAUGGUCUUGGGCCUCUAUGAGCAGCAGGCUGCACCCCACAGUGACCUCCUCAUUCUACUCUGAGGCAUCUUCAUGAAAGCAGAUGUCCCUUGAAAAGCACCCAAGUGCAGUCUCAGCUGAUGAACUUCAGAGACGAUUGAGACAAAGGCUCUCGGUCCCCUCUGCCCUUGGAUGGUGCCUCUGGUAUGCACUUGGCCUCUGUGUCUUUAUUUAGACUGGUCACUUCACAACCCAUCAUGUCACCCCACCCCUAACCGUGCCCACUCUGGGUCCUCCCCUCAACUGCCUGACUUCCCACUUUGAGCUCAGCAAAGGCA